AUACGUAUGUCGCAAGCGUUAUCCGGAUUUAUUGGGCGUAAAGCGCGUCUAGGCGGCUUAGUAAGUCUGAUGUGAAAAUGCGGGGCUCAACCCCGUAUUGCGUUGGAAACUGCUAAACUAGAGUACUGGAGAGGUAGGCGGAACUACAAGUGUAGAGGUGAAAUUCGUAGAUAUUUGUAGGAAUGCCGAUGGGGAAGCCAGCCUACUGGACAGAUACUGACGCUAAAGCGCGAAAGCGUGGGUAGCAAACAGGAUUAGAUACCCUGGUAGUCCACGCCGUAAACGAUGAUUACUAGGUGUUGGGGGUCGAACCUCAGCGCCCAAGCUAACGCGAUAAGUAAUCCGCCUGGGGAGUACGUACGCAAGUAUGAAACUCAAAUGAAUUGACGGGG
This 392-nucleotide ribosomal RNA is filed under the name uncultured bacterium. Its description in RNAcentral is "partial 16S ribosomal RNA". It matches the Rfam family "Bacterial small subunit ribosomal RNA", at positions 523 to 918 of the family's 1533-position model. The record is from RNAcentral.